UAUAGAUGGAUCCGCGCUGCAUUAGCUAGUUGGUAAGGUAACGGCUUACCAAGGCAACGAUGCAUAGCCGACCUGAGAGGGUGAUCGGCCACACUGGAACUGAGACACGGUCCAGACUCCUACGGGAGGCAGCAGUAGGGAAUCUUCCGCAAUGGGCGAAAGCCUGACGGAGCAACGCCGCGUGAGUGAUGAAGGUCUUCGGAUCGUAAAACUCUGUUAUUAGGGAAGAACAUAUGUGUAAGUAACUGUGCACAUCUUGACGGUACCUAAUCAGAAAGCCACGGCUAACUACGUGCCAGCAGCCGCGGUAAUACGUAGGUGGCAAGCGUUAUCCGGAAUUAUUGGGCGUAAAGCGCGCGUAGGCGGUUUUUUAAGUCUGAUGUGAAAGCCCACGGCUCAACCGUGGAGGGUCAUUGGAAACUGGAAAACUUGAGUGCAGAAGAGGAAAGUGGAAUUCCAUGUGUAGCGGUGAAAUGCGCAGAGAUAUGGAGGAACACCAGUGGCGAAGGCGACUUUCUGGUCUGUAACUGACGCUGAUGUGCGAAAG
RNAcentral lists this ribosomal RNA (547 nucleotides) under Staphylococcus aureus. Its description in RNAcentral is "bacterial SSU rRNA". It matches the Rfam family "Bacterial small subunit ribosomal RNA", at positions 220 to 759 of the family's 1533-position model. The record is from RNAcentral. Lineage: Bacteria; Bacillati; Bacillota; Bacilli; Caryophanales; Staphylococcaceae.